RNAcentral lists this ribosomal RNA (251 nucleotides) under uncultured prokaryote. Its description in RNAcentral is "partial 16S rRNA". It matches the Rfam family "Bacterial small subunit ribosomal RNA", at positions 525 to 775 of the family's 1533-position model. The record is from RNAcentral.
ACGGAGGAUGCGAGCGUUAUCCGGAUUUAUUGGGUUUAAAGGGUGCGUAGGCGGAUUAAUAAGUCAGUGGUGAAAUACUGCAGCUUAACUGUAGAAUUGCCGUUGAUACUGUUAGUCUUGAGUAUGGUCAAGGUAGGCGGAAUGUGUAAUGUAGGAGUGGAAUCCUGUGAGACUACAUGGCCCAGCUGUUGCGAAGGCGUGUGGCCAGGACAUCGCAUACACUGAGGCACGAAAGCUUGUGGAGCUAACAG